UAUGAGAUUACCUCACAUUGCUUCUAGUAGUUAUUAUCUUGAAACAAAUUAUUUCGAGGCAAAACCCCAACUUCCUUCAAACACGUAUCCAGAAGCAUGUUCUUUUUUAUUGUACUGGCAGAUUGUCAAAAUAUUUUGGCCGAUACACAGCGAACAGUCUUUCAAAUUAUCACUUGCAAGCUUGGCCAUCCAGGCGUUCUUGCUGAGAGUCAGACUGUGAGGUUGUAAAGGACAUAAUGUAACUUUGUCUAAUACUUGCUCACAGUCUGACAGUGUUUGCUGCAUCCUCACUCAUUCUCUUCAUUUAAGAUGAAUCAAAAGAGUUUUCUGUAUGAGAACAAGUGUAAUGUGAGUGAGAUCCUUAAGUCUUCAUUGUUGUUUUGUUGAUCUUCCUCUUUUUAUAACCCCAGAAAGAAAUUAUGUUACUGUGAUUGUGGCCUUACUUUUAACAACUUUCAUCUCCCCCACUUUCAGCCAGUUAACAAUUCCCUGAGCAUCCUUAUCAGCUAUGGACAGCAACUACUGCACUGUGCAGGGUUGCUUAGGAACAAAAUUGAUGCUCUUUGGCAUGGUGGAUUACAGCUGCAACUCUCAGGUCCCCAAACACCUCUGCUCCCCUCAGUGGAAUGAAAAGAUUUAAGAUGCUUUCCAAAUCUGUCUUUGAAGAGAAUAUAUACAUUUUCGGUUUCUAUUAUCUACUCUCUUCAAUGCUGGCAAAUAGCAGGUUCAGUGUUGUGACCUUUCUACUGAAAGCAGCGUAGUAUUGAAAAAUCUUAUUUAGUAACAGCUCCUUUAACAAGUCCUUUAACAAGAACAUAAUUUAAAUACCAAGGUAUCUUGUAUACCUUAAAUAAUUGAGAACGUUUAGCUUUUCUAAGCUUUUUGUUCGUUUGUUUGUUUGACUUUGGUUAUUGAUGUACUUGUUUAUAUAAUUUGAUCAAAUUAAUGGUGAGAAUUUGGGACAGGCAAAACUAGACCUACAGAGGGUGUAGACAUUCUCAUACACUUACUGAGAGCUAGAAAAAGGUACACCUAUUUCUUGUGUUUAUUUGUUACAAGUAUUGAUCUAAAACAUUAAAUUGAAUAUUUCCACCAUAAACUCUGCAGCAACAGAGAAUUUAGUUGGUAUCAAUAGCAGUAUUAUUUUUUUCUUCUUCUUCUUCUUUUUUUUUUUUUUUUUCCAUCAGUUAGAAAAUGUCAAAGAGUACACAUUGAAGCUUCCCUGCAGACAGAUAAUUUAUAGUAAUUCCUCAGACUGGCUUAAUGAUUUGAUGAGCUUGGUAUUUAUUUUUCAAGUGAGAGGGAAGCUAAAGUUUUUCUCUAAUUUGCUUGUAAAUGCACUAAUCAGCUUGUAGGGUGUUAAUAUGUGUCAAAAGGUGCUGAGGUUUGGAGAAGAAAGAUGUGUAAUCUAUGGUAUGUAUUGUACACUUGUGGACCAUGUGCUACUUCUGGCACCUUCACCCCAAGUGAGUCAGAUCACUGAGGAAAUGGUAGCUGCUGAAAGACUGCCCCCCAACAGCACUGUUGUCAUUAUCAUUCAUUUAACCUACAGUUUCUUUCCUUGAAGGCCCAAACUUUUGAAAUGUCACGUGUUAAAUCAUUCAUGGGUGAUGAUCGUAACUAGAAAGUGAUGCAAACUACAUUUCUGAAUGAAAAACCUAGAGACUAAUUCAUGGUCAAUUAUUAAAAUGCCUCCAAACAAAAGCACAUGUCUCACAAUGAGUUGCUGCCAGGCACAUUCCUAUAUGCCAUUAUUGUAGUGUCUUCCAGGAAGAGUCAGAUAUGAACACCGCAGUUUGCAUUGCUGAUGUGUAGCUCUGUAGCAGACCAAAAAUCUUAGAGACACACUAAGCUAAGUUUCACCAGGGACACUCUUCUCAUUGCAGUACUCAUUUCCAUAUUUAAUUCAAUUUUAAAAGUUACCAUUUUCUUUUACUUAGAGCUACCUCCAGACUGAAGCACUGCAGACGCUUGAGGGCAAUGAGAGAGGAUUAUGGUUAAGACUUCCUCAGAUUUAUAUCUUUCUCAUUUGCCUUCUGAUCUUUGUUCCUUUCUGUGUAAAUCAUAUGAAUCUCUCUGGUGAGAAAAUUCUGUAAUUUAAUAGGAAAGACCAUUAUUCACAAUGAUUUGGUUUAACUCAUUUAGUUCUUCUAUAUGGUCUGCUCUUUCAGAGCAGCAAAUCUCAAAUUUGCCAGCUAGUACAGUUCUAUACUACUGUGAAUUAACCACAUUUCCUUCAGUAUAUUUGUCUUUUGUGUAAGUUUCAUGAAAUUAUUUUGCUUUAUGCAUUAACUGGCAUAUUAAACUUUUUUUUUUUUUAAUGAAAACAGAUGAAUAAACUGGAGAGUAAAUAAUAUUCCCCUCAACUGAGCAGCUUUAUCAUAAAAUUCUGGACAAGUUCUAAAGAAAGAGUGCUAUCUUGCACCUCUACAGAAAGUUUGCUUCUCUUUUGAGGUGAAACAGUGGUUAUUUCUUGGUUUGGGGAUAAUAAUUUUAAUUUAACUAUAUAUGAGUAUGUGUGUAUAUAGAUGUAUAGCACUCCUCCCAUUUGCUGUUCCAGUAAAUGCUUUUUAUAAGUUUGAGGGCUGAUGAUGUUGAUAGGAGAGAAUGCAUCCUUUCUUAAUCUUCUUGCCCUACUCUAAGCUGUCCUUCAAAUAAGUCCUUCUAUGAAGAUAUAUUUAUUUAUGUACACUCUUCUGAGACUGAAAAUAUUUUUAAUCUGCCAACCAUUUUUCCACUGCCUUAAGAAACAAAUUGAGAGCAUGGACUCAUGGAACAUGUCUGCAGAGAAACUAAUUAGCUAACUAGUUUGUUAGAAAUUAAGAAAUAGAAAAUUUCCAUUUUAAUAAUCAAAUAGAAGAAAUAGAAAUCUGAACUACUUGUUCUUCACAGGACGAGCCUGGUAGUGACUAUUGUUCUGCACUGUGGUGUGGUGUGAGGUGAGAGAGUGAUAGUGCAGGCUUCUUUCUGGCUCUCAAAGAGAAAGGGUGACAAAUGGUGUAAUGAAAUAGCAUUUUUAAUAAGGUAGAGAAGCUCUGAAAUUUACUUCCCUUCAGAUCUUGGGAACUGCAGGAUUAGAUGGACCCCAGAUGGAUUUUCCCAUGGCAUGCUGCACAGACUGUCUGUAAGAGAAGAUUGUCCUUUCUGGUUCUUUGAGCUUCUAUACUUUUGUUUUGUUUUGUUUUGUUUUACAAGAAACCAACCCUAUUCAUAAAAUAUUCUCUCAUAAUCUUUCUGUGCUUUUAGACAAAAUCACGCAGGUAAUAUAAUCACUGGUACUGAGUGGGAGCUGCAGGCGGGCUCCUCUGACACAAAGAGCUGCUCAGGUUCAUCCACAGAGGAGGUAUUUGCACAGCACAGCCUGAAGCAGCGCUGGACAGGCAGCACAGGGCUACACCUGAGGGCCACUGGUACAUGAGCACUAGCUCCUCUCUGUGCAGUGUUUCCCCAGGCAUGUUCACCACAACAGGACUGUAGUGCCAGGAAUUAGGACAAUGUAACUGCUAUCAAGUUUUUUUUUUUCUAUAAUGUAAAAAUUUGAUAACUUCCUAAUCUAUUAAUUUCCUGUUUCCAAAAGUCUAUGAAUGAAAACCACUUACUCUUUAUUAUUUUUUUGUUGAAACGUAGUUCAAACAUCUGAAAUGAAAUGAAACAUUUUGAUCGCUUGAUCUGAAUUGUUUUUGAGAUUUCAUUUCAAAGCAGUUUUGACUUUUCAUCCUUAUGUGUAAUGGAGGAUAUACGCUGUGAGGGAACCAUUUCAUCUUGUGAUGAAAGGCCUCAUUCCAGCCAUAGUUGUUUUGUUCUUUUUCACUGAGAAAAACAAUUAGAAAAAUUAAUGGCAAAAUAGCCAUUAUUGUGUACCAAGCACAAAAGAUAAAAUAUCUGCCUUGAGAAGUCCUUAAGCUGUAGAGUGUUGAAAGCUGAGGAGGUCUAAUAGGUGAUGUAUCGCCAUAUUCUUGCAUUUUUUUUUUCAUGUUUUACCCUUGCCAUUUACUUCUGGACACUGACUGAGGGAGAGCACUGAACUAAAAUGGAUCCUUCAGCUGACCCUGAGUGACCACUCAUGUCCUGAGUUAAUGGAAAUGACAUAGCUGUGGCUUGGUUCAGGCUUAGAUUAAAGAAUUAAACUGUUUUAUACUUUUUCUUCCCAAAUUCCUUUUACAGCACCAUGGGCAUUGGUAAAAGAUUUUCUUACAGUAGCAAGGGUCAGAGGGUCAAAGAAUAGAACAGAGCUUGAAAACUGCAAACAAGAAAAGAGCUGCUUUAAACUCAGUUAUUUCUUACAUUGCUGUUUUGUUUAUCUAUUUAUAUGAUCAAACGUCAUAAACCACAAGGUGCUAAGAACUUAUGUCAGCUUCAAAACACUUAAUAAGCAUUUCAAUGGAAGAUGCAUAAAUGCUACAGCACCUGUGAAUGCUGAAUACCCCAUGGGAUUUAGUGCUAUUCACUUGAUCCAAAGCCAGUGUUAAUCAAAGGCUCGGAUUUGACGUGAGAGAACUUUUCAUCAGUUUUGUGUAUGAACACCUCUAGCAAUAUAUUACCCAGGACAACAGGAUUUAAAACAAACUUAACAGAGAAUGCUGCAAUACGCAUACUGCUGUCAGCAACUUACAGCUACUGAUAUGUUGAGAUAUGGUGGAAAAAGCAAAAAAAAAAAAAAAAAAAAAAAAAAAAAGAGUUUUAUUUAUUGAAACACAGUUUCAUCAGUGAAAUAGUAAGGUGAGUGACUGCAACUUCUGAUGUAACUGGUUCAUUCUAUCUAUGGAUUAUCAAGAGAAAACUCCUUAUGGAAAGCAAAUAAUAUAGCACUUCCUCAUGUACAGAGAUUGAGUCACAUGUGAGAUCUUUUCCAAACUAUUAAAAAAAAAAAAAAAAGAUUGAUCAUUAUCAACACUGAGCUAGAGAAUUUGCUUAGAAUUUUUUACAGAUAAAAAGCAAAAAAGUUGUCUUUUUUUUUUUCCUUUAGCUUAAAAGUCUUAACUCACAGAAACUUUCAGGCAACCUUGAAAAGAUGUUACACAUCAGAGAACAUGACAGCCAGAGCUGAUGUAACUAAUUUGGGGCUGGUAUAACAAUGCUAUUUAGAGCAAUAAAUGAUUUGUCUGUUGGCUGAUCUGUUUACUAAAAUAGUUGGUGAAAAAUGUGGCAUAUAUUAUAUCUCUUCAUUAUCCUGCUAGUAUAAAGGACUUAUAAACUGACAAUUCUGCCUAUAGUUUUAGAUUGCGUUCCUUAACUAUAUUAGGAUAAGGUCAUCUGUGUUAUAAAUGGAUAUGAAGAAGAAAUAUACAGUUCUCUAUCAAUAAUCUGUCUAACAACCUGAUAAAAUGAAUGACUAAGACCCAUAUAUAACAAGGACACAAUGAUUGUCCUAUGCACUCCUCUGCUUGGUUGCUUUUCCACAUUAAAAUCCACCACUCCCAGUGAGAAGGUCUACACUUCGUUAGGCUCCUCCCAUACUGAUGACCAUUAGCUUAAUUAUUUUUUUAUAGAAAAACAAAUAAAUUUACAUUUAAAUUUCUUUUCAGGAAUGACCACAUUCUGAGAGUCCUAGAAGAAGGACAGAGAGAUUAGAUAUUAUUCUCAGGUUUUAAUCCUUUGCACAGCAUGUUACAGCUUUGUUGACAUGGAUAUACUACACGAGUGACUUUAUGCAUAUUCACAAAUGUUUCUUGUAAGGAAAUAGCUUGGAAAACAAUAAUCAUGUAACAUGUGUAAUGUAGUUUUGUGGAUAAAUAAAACUUUAUCCUCAUUGCCUUAGAUAGGAUGUUGACUUAAAAAUAAUAAUAAUAAUAAUAAUUCUGGUGGCAUUUACUCUUACAGAAACUUGCCCGUCAUUUUAUAUCUGUUUUCUUUUCUCUCUGAGAAAUUUAUUUUUCCUUAUUUCAUUUAUAAUUUUUUCUGUUUUUUCUCUGUUCCUCUUGAAUCAUACACUUGAAGAAAAAAGGGGAAGAAUUAAGAGAUAUCUAGGUUUGACCCUAGGUGAGAUGAUCAAAUACAUAUGUCCACUUUCUGAAAUUCCCUACAUUAUGCAGUUUCUCAUGUCAUGCAAGUCUAAAAAUGUACUUGUGCUUAAGGAAUACUUGUGCUUGGAAAAUUCUUGAAAGGAAAAAUCAUUUAUGCUUGCAAGUACAUAGGAAAGUUAUCUGCUUCAUAAAGUCCCUGAACUGAAAAUAAAUGGAACCUGAGACAGUAGUAAGGGAAAACAUCAAAUAUAUUUCCUUUAUUUUUCUCUGGUUUCUCUGCAUUCGGUAAUAGCUGCAGAUCCUGGCCUAGAUAUAUCUUUGUUCUGUCAUAUCUUGUGAAUUGUUCCAAAAUCCUUACAUCACUUUAAAACCAGUAGAGCAUGAGGUUGCUGUGUUUUGGGUGGAUGAAUCAAGCCCUGUGUGCUAUGGAAAUAGAGAUUCCAAAAUUCCAGAAUGUCCCCAGUGUUACUGCUUUUGAAUCAUCACGAGUUCACUGAACUAACAAAAGAUUAGGAAUUCAACAUGUCAGCAUCACACCACCUCAUCAUAAAUAGCAUAUCAAUGUAAAACUUUUGCUAGAAAACUUCCAAUUAUCAUUAUAAGUCUUAUUGCAUACUUAGUCUGAGGAAUAUUUUUUUCUGAAUGAAAAACAAAUGUGUGGUAUUUAUUCUUUAAUGCAAAAAGUUAAAAGCAAUAUUGGGCAGAAAAAAAAAUAGGUUGAUAUUACAAUGAUUCUAGAUUCUCCAAUGUUACAUUCUGUACUCAGCAACGGUGAGGCUGCACCUUGAGUACUGUGUUCACUUUUGGGCUCCUCACUGCAAGAAAGAUAUUGAGGCACUGAAGCUUGUUCAGAGGAGAGCAACGAAGCUGUCAGGGGUCUGGAGAACAGGCCUUAUCAGGAUCGGCUGAGGGAACUGGGAUUAUUCAGUCUGGAGUAGAGGAGGCUCAGGUGUGACCUUAUCAUUCUCUACAACUGCAAGAAAUGAGGUUGUGAUCAGAUGAGGGUUGGCCUCUACUCCCAGUAUAGGAUUAGAAGAAAUGGCCUCAAGUUGUGCCAGGGGAGAGUCAAGUUGGAUGUCAGGAAAAACUUCUCCAAAGAGCAGUCAGGCACUGGAAUGGGCUGCCCAGGGGGGUGGUAGAGUCACUGAUGCUGGAGGUGUUCAAGGAACGUGCAGAUGUUGGACUAAGGGACAUGGUUUACUGGGGAAAUAUUAGUGGUAGGUGGAUGGCUGGACUGGAUGAACGUAGAGGUCUUUUCCAACCUUGGUCUUACUAAGAUUCUAUGAUUACUUCUAGUGAUUUAUUUGAAAGUUUACUACUGAAGAAAAGGGCAGGAAAUCUCUUCAAAUUAAAUAUCUUCCACAGGAUACUGGGAAUGUGUAUGCAACUUUUUUUAUUAUUAUCAUCUAUGGCUGUAAGAACUAAAAGUUAUUGGUUUUGAUCUUAAAGCCAGCAACUUUCAGAAGACUUAAGAAUUUAAAGCUAUUAAGUUAUUAGAAAACUGGCAUCUUAGAACUCUUGAUAGACCAGAUAAUGAAUAAAUAAGUAAUUCUGCAAUUUUUUAGUUGAAGCAACACAUUGCAUAGAUACAAAGGAAAUGUUUAUGUUUUAAUGACUAUCAAGUAAUUAUCAGACUAUAAGUAAGACUCUUGAUUCUUCAUAAAUCUUGAUUGCUCAGUAUGUUUUGUAUUUCUCCCAGAGUGACAAAAAAAACCAAAACAUGUUAAUGUUUUAAAUGUUUUGCAAAGUCUAAGCUCCAAUUCAUCAGAAAUCUGAACUGGCUUUUGUGACAUCGCUAUACCAGGCUGCCUGGCAGCCAUCAUCCCAUGUCUGGGCCAUAGAUUUUAACAACACUGUUAGCAGUCUCCUGGUCAUGAGUAGGGAAAUAGCUUUUCUAUCAUUAGUCUCAAUGUAGGGGAUAGAGCCUUACUACACUACGUUUUAUUUUUGAAGAACAAAAUCACAACAUUUCAGGUGAGCUUGAAAGGGGCUUCUGGAGAUCUUGCCCCCAAACCCACUGCUCUAGGGGUCACCAAGAUCAGGCUGCUCAAGGUUGUAUCCAACUAAGGAUGGAAGCUGCAAAACCUCUCUGGACAAUCUGCUCUUAUGUUUGACCACUCCCACAAUGAAUUUUAAUUAUGUUUACAUGGAAUUUCCUCGAAUUUAAUUUUUGCCCAUUGCAUAUUUACCUAUCUCUAGAUACCACUGUGACAAGUCUGGCUACAUAUUGUUAACAUCAGUACCUCCAAUCAGGUAUCUGUACAUGUGAAGAAGAUCUCCUUGAGCCUUCUAUUUUGCGGGCUGAACAAUCUCAUCCCUUCUGAGCCUUUUCAUGCUCAAAAAUCUUCAUCAUCAUUGUGACUCUUCAGUGGACUUACUCCAGUACAUGCAUUCCCUCUUACACAGAGGAGCCCAGUGCUGGACCCUUCACUUCAUUUGUGGCUUCCUGAGUGUGGAGGAAAGAAGAAGAUCACACCCUUGACCUGCGGGUGAUACAAUGUGAUUCUUGGUGCAGCCCAGAAAAGGCUGUUGACCUCUUCUGCUAGGAUUCAUUGGUGGCCUAUGGUCCCUGGGGACCAUAACCACUCAGGCCUUCUCUGCAAAGCUGCUUCCGAGCUAGUCAGCACACAGCUUGCUCCAGUGUACAUGAGAAGGAAAAUUCUGAGGUGCAAAAUUUGGUAUUUCCAUUUCUUGAACUUCUUUUGGAGUAUAGGAAAGGUGACAGCUGUUAGUACAAUUUACAUGUUAGUGACUUAAAAGUAAAGUUCAAAGUUAGAUGAGAUAAAGAGAAAACAGAACAGAAACCUCAAACUAUAAACUGAUUUUAUAUUUUGCUUUUCAUUUUCUCAAGAUCUCAAAUAUUUUUUCAAUAUUGCAAAUUUUCAAUUAGAAAUAAAUGUUAAGAGAAACACAGUUCUGUAAGCAAUGUAAUGAUUAGAUGGUCACAUUAAUAAUUGUUUGGUGUGGAGAAAAUUGGAAAUAAACUUUAAAGAUAAUCAUAAAAUAGAUUUCUGGGCAAAUAGAAUAGAAAAUAGAUAAACAAUAAUCUUCCUUCUAUAUAUUCUCAAGUGUUACUAACUCAAGUAUUUGAAAACAUCUUUUGUUUUGGAAAAAAAAAAAGAAAAAAGAAAAAACCCACAAAGCAAAUAAACUGCUGUAGCAUCGUGAAACUAGUUUGAGCAAGUAAUAGGCAAUAUGUGGCAUUUUUACUCAGGAAUCUCACAUGACUCAUUAUGAAACAAUAUUAGCAUCUGAUGAUGACAAUGUUGGUCGCAAAACUAAUUCUUUUUCCUAUUUUUUCUUGUUUCUUUAAAAGAAAAAUCAAUUCCUAUUUUGGGUGAAUAUUUCUACUAGAAAUGCAUAGAAGUUUAUAAAAUUUAAUCUGCAGUGACAAAUAUCACUCUUAUUUAUCGAGCAUUACCUUGCUGGAGUAGUACAGCUCAUUGAUUCCUGUACUAAGGCUGGACACAGUUGGAUUCCAGACUAACUGUGUCAAUUUCAUGACACCAUGAAGCUGUGGUCUCUCUGCCUCUUUAGAUCCCGCUGAUUUUUUUAAUUUCUCUGCAUGGUCAGAAUCAAAACUCAUCACAGACAUGUAAAAGGUACCAAGAAGUACUGAAGAUUGCUAAAAAACUCAAAACUUCCUGUCUGUCUGCAAAGCUUAGGAAAAGGGCAAAAGCUGAUUAGCAUUUACAAGCCUAUUAAAAUGACAGGUUCCAGGUUCUGAAAAACAAAAGAAGUAGAGGUAUGCACAGUAAUUUUAAUAAUUUCUUUCAAUCAAAUCUAUACCAUUUAAAAAUUGGCUUGAAAUUAUUCUGUGCAGUUUUCAUUACACACAGGAAUUUUAUAAGGAGAAAAUAGGUUAUGGAAAGAAGUAGGUCUUCCUUAUCGGCCAUAAAUAGGUUGCAUAGUGAAAUGUGCCCAGAGCUAAACAUGUCCCACGUGGUUGUAAGUAGAAGCUUAUAUUGCUACUUUGAAGUUGAUUGUGUGAGUAUCUAAAACACCUCUGGACCUGCCUUGUGCUUAUGAGUUUAAGUCAGAUACUCCCACAUAACUGCAAAAAAAGAUGAACCUUCAAUGUAUCAUGUAAAAUUUUAAAUGGCAGGUAUGAGACAUAAAAGGCUGGACCUACAGUAUAUCUAAAAGUCCAUAAUACAUCUUCAAAACUUUAAGCUCAAUUAAAAACCUCAGAAAAAAAGUGAUCUGACAGUGCAGAAGAGUGAAACCAGAGCCGCAAAUAUUUACAAGUAAUGAAUGAAAUGAAGAACUUUGGUAUUAAAUAUGUGAUGCUUUCUGUUCCAUAUAUAAUUUAGUGCGGUUACAAGGCUGAAAACUUAUUCAUAUUUUAAUUUUUAGACAGGAGAGAGCAUUUUCAUGUUCUGUUUUAGAACUGUUUUGGCAUGAGCACAGCUUGUACUGAAGUCUUGCAUAUAAUGAAUUAUUUCAGCACUGAGUAGCUAGUUAUGUAGACAUACAAUAAAGAUUGCUAAACCAAAUAAGAUAUUGAGAAUAAAGAUAAUAAGAAUUUUUUUUUUUAAUUAAAGGUAAUAUGAAAAUAGGCAAUGAACUUCUCAGUCUUGAUUACAUUUGGAACCUAUAUAUUCUCUUACAAUGUAAUAUCUAAGACAGAAGUGAAAACAUUUGUUUUGGAUAGAUAAAUAAAUAAUCUUGUCCAAGUCAUACGAACACUGCUAUCAUGAAGGAAUAAAAGGUUAAUGCAUUUGUGAAAUGCAAUUACAACAGUUUUGUAAGAAUAUAUAUAAAAAAAGUAGAAUUAAAUUGUAGUGACAUAGUGUAAUAUAGUGUAAUUUAUACAGUUGUCUUUUUUUUUUCCCUUUCUUUCUUUCUUUCUUUCUUUCUCCCCCAGUUUAUGCAAACUUUAUAGGGGAAUUAAUGCUUAACUUUACUUAUUCCCACUGAACUAGUUGGAAGAACUUAUCAACAUGUAUUCUCUGAAUGGGCAUUCCAGUAUUCACUAUGAUCAAAUCAGUCACCAGUUAAUAGAGUCUCUUUGAUAUGUUAAAUGGGCAAUGUGUGCCUGGAAUCUUUCACUAUGAAUGAUGUUUUCCAAACCUCAAUCAUUCUUGUGGUUAUUCCAAGAAUUAAUCUUCAUUCUUCAGCAUUGAUCUUAAAUUAUGUGCCCCAGAACUGUUCACAGUAUUCUCAGAGCACUCCAUGCAAAGAUUAACUUGCAAAUAAUAUGUGUGUAAUUGUGAUUCCUAUUUAUGUAUUGGAGAAUCACACUGACUGUUUGUCCACAACAAUCAAUUGUGAGCUAUUUAACUAAUGAUAUCUUCUACUAUAAAUUUUGUUUAACUUCAAGUAAUUAAGACAACAUGUAUGGGAACUGUUGAAUCAUGGCCUGAACCUCUGAUUGACCACUUGAGGCGAGCUCUGACUCAGCUGCAGGGGCACAGGUGAAUGCAAUUUCACCUGAGUGACCGGAAGGGGUGGAGCCUGACUGCCCCCCUCCUAGACCCCAUUUAAGGGCUGACUCCCAAGGAGAAAGGUUCUCUAGCUGGAGAUCACUCCUCUUGGGGCUCUUCUGUAAGCCUGGGACACAGGUAAGAUUGUUAUUUCAUUUCUCCUUUGUAAUGCAAUAAUCUUUCUGGUCCAAAACCUGUUUGCUAUACAACAAGGAUUACAUCAAAGGAGAAUAAGGAUAUUCAUGCAGCUGAGCUGACCUCAUUGAGGUACUGAGAUUUCAAUAGACACAAGGAACUAUGGAAGCAUGCUGUCAGUGGCACUGAAUAUCAGAACUGUGCCUUAAAAAUAUCUGCUGUACAUUUAUUUGAACUUUACAGAAGUUUCAAGUAAGAAAAUAAAACUUUUGCACAAAUUUGUCACAUUUCAGAUGUUGAUAUAAAUCAUAAUCAUUUGCACUUGAGAGAAGCAUCAUCCUUAAGGCAACAAAUUCAGCGGCACCUUUAUAUUGCAUGCAAGACUGAGCAAGUCCUUAUUGGAAUCUGAUACUCCUUGGAGAAAGAUGCCAGGUUUGUCAAGACAGAAUUUUGUUGAACAGGAAAUGCAGAACAGAUCUGAUAGUAAUGUCAAAGGAAAAUUUACAGUUGCUUCUAUUGCUUUUAGUAGAGUAAAUAUCCACUUUCCAUUGCAACAAGAUGUUUUAAUGAGAUGAGACAGCAUUAUAUCUCUAUUAACUAAGUGCAGUAAUUACAGUAAGAUUUAUAGCUACUCUUAAAGAAAAAAAAUGUAAAAGAAGAAUGCUAUUUUGUGAAUACGAAGAUUUUAUAAAUGAAUCUGAUUAGGGGUUGCAUGGAUAGAGGUAUGUGUUAGAGGUACUUAGUCAUCUGUAUGUAGGUCUGAAACAGAUAACAAAAAGAUUGUUACAAUAAAUAUGCCAGAAAUCUACCUGGAUUUAUACAGAUACACACAAAGCAUUGGUUAAUCAUACUGUUAAUCAUAGAAUGGCCUGGGUUGAAAAGGACCAGAAUGAUUAUCUAGUUUCAACCCUAAUGCUAUGUGCAGGAUUGCCAACAACUAGACCAGGCUGCCCAGAGCCACAUCCAGCCUGGCCUUGUUUCCACUGAAAGGAGUGCCAAAUUUCCUCAGAGUUUAUUGGGAUGAGGAUUACAACCAAUAUGUCACCUAUUAGAAAUAUGUUAAUUGGAAGGAAGUUUAAGUCUACUUGCAGCCUGGCAUAGUCAAAGUGUGUAUCAAGAAAAACACAAACAUGUUUGUUGAACAUAUACACAUAUAUUAAUUAUUAAUCUCAAUUCCUGCUCAUCAGAAAAAAAAAAGCAUGUAAAGUAAAGAAUUAUAUAAAUAAUGAAUGAUUUGAAGAACACACGCAUACCAGAAAUCACAAGGGGACAUUUAGAUGUGUAAUGUGUAAAACAGUUAGAACAUUCUUUGGCACUCUGAGACCACUGGAAAAAUAUGAAGUCUCAUUAGCAAGUCCAGUUUCCCCUAUCAUCCUUUCCUUAACUUUCUUUUAGGUGACAUGGACACUCCUGAUAGGAGUUUGGUAGCACAUGAGUAUUUUUCCCUAUUCUCUCAAAUUAUUUACUUUCUGGCUUCUGGGCAAUUCUAUACAGCAGUUGUUUGAGCUCUUGGUUUCAGUUUUCUGUGACCAGUCUUUUCUAAGCUUCUUAUGCUUACCCUAAGUUAAAUUGAUAUUCUGAGGGAAUUGCUUUUUUUCCUAGUUUGUCUGCUUAAAGAAUUUUAUUUUUUGAGGUGGAUUUCAUGCUUGGGAAGUUCUUGUUUAUUUGCUUAGGUGUUUGUUAUGAUGGGCUAGUAUUCAGAAUUCUGUCUCUCACAGAGAUCCUCCAGAAUCCUCCAGUGUUGGAGCUCCUAAGCACAGACAAGGUCCUAGCAGGUAUUUGUGUUCUAGAUGAGAAAGCUGAACUCAGGGCAUUUUGUAGGUUUGCUUCAUUGGCAAGAGAUCAAAGCUGAUCCUUAUGUGUCCUCAUCACCUAUAGCUCUCGGUUAUGGACAUGACUGAAUUCCACUGAAAAGUAUUAUGUCACCUCAUCACCCUAUUGUGUUGUAUCCUCAUGGAGUCUAUAUUUUCAAUGAUUUCAAACCUUUUCAGCUACAUAAUUCGACUAUCAGUUCUGAUAACAAACUGUCAUUUGAAAGGCUACCUCUAAGCUGCUUGCAAUGCAAAAGCAAGGUAGUAGGAUCAUUACAGAAUGGCAAUACUGCCAGUUGUUUCUCAGUUUUAAGACAAUGCAUUAAUGUCAAACAUACGACUAUCUCAAUAAAUUGAAAGGGUGGCGUAUACCUCCCUGCUUGAAAGGCUGGGGACCAGUCCUGAUGAUGACAUUUGUCUUUCACUUGAGUUUAUGGUUAACUUGCUAAAGUUUUAGCACCCUGGUAUGAGAUAAUCUUACAGACACUCAUCUAAAUCAGCUCUACUUUUUAUUAUUGUAACUACAGGCAAGCUGUUUGAAAACAAAGAAUUGUUUUCAAGAACCAAAGUAGGACAAUUACAAAUUUAGGAUAUAUCCAGCACUAACAAUCCAGUCUUGCUUGCUAUUCUUCCUCAGGCAGACUCUAUUGAAAGGAAACAAUUCAGUAACAACUAUUUUCUGAACAGUAGUGGUAAUCAGCUCAAGGCCAUCCAGAGAAUAUUGUCAGAAAUAUUAUCUGUUGUACAUUAAUGUGUGACUCCAUUGUGGAUGUCAUACUAUGAGAAGAUCUUUAACAGAAAUGACAUUGACACAAUGCAGUGCUUUGCCUCUGGUCAUAUGGCAUCGCUCCACUUGACUUCAUGCAGAGUAUAGCUGCUCAUAUACAGUUGUCAUGCAAUAACAGAGUGAAGUAGUGACGGUUAUUUUCUGGCAAAAUUAGGCAGUUCAUGCUUUGCAAUGGCUUGAAGUUACAGAUCUGAGAAGAUGGCAAUUUUUUUGCCUGUUUUAUGGUGCAUGUAAUUAAAGAUUUCUCUGGAUAAAUGGCUUUUCCAAACAAAUGUGAAUUUUCCAACUUUUUAAAUAAAUGAAAGUGAGCCAUGUUUUUUGGCAUGGGCAACACCUGCUCAGAGAUGCCAAUUCUUUCUCUUUUUCUGCCUUUAAAAAAUGAACUAUUCUAAAUUGAAUAGCCAUUUAAAUGUAGCAUUAAUUAAUAUUUCAUUGCUUUACACUAGAGAACAGAUCCGGAAAAGGGUUUUUUGUUCACUGACAUCUGUUUAAACAAAGCUAAGUGGAACCUUCUGACACUAUCAAUGAAAGAAUCUGAAAGGAAAGCUGCUCUGCACAAUAGCCUCCUUUGUGUAUUUCUGUGACUGUUCUGUCCCAGUCUGUUUCAAAGUAAUAUACCUUGUGCUGAUUAUUUUUUAUCUUUAUAAAUAUACUGUAGGUAUAGCGUUCAUUGCUUUUAGUGCCCACUAAAUCUAUUUGCCUGUGUUUACAUGGCUGCUGAAAUCUUGGUGGACUAAGCUGAUCUUUCCUCAUUGAACUGUUAGUUUACCCACUGAGUAGAUCAGUCUUACACUUCAUUAAUUCAGCUGCAUGGAGUCAUCCUUUAUUUCCAUGAAAAUCUAGUUACCACUACCAGUUACUGCCCCUCACCUCAACCACAAAAAUACCUGUGCUUUCCAGGUGAGAAGGAGAAACUCGUAAUUUUGUCCUGCACACUUUUACUUGGAAAAAAAAUAUUGACCAAUAUGGAAUAGAAAUCUUAUGAACACUGUGUAAUAUUCCACAUAAGAAUGUACCUGAGAAUGUUUUGCCUCAAGUAGUCUAUUCCUGUCAGGAGUGCUUCUACUUUUCCUUAUACUGUAGCUUAGGCCUAAUCACUCAGAUACUGCAACAUUCGUCUGUGGUGGCUGGUGCUUCCAUGAAGGCAGUCAAGAUUGAGGGCCCAAUCUUACUGAAGACUAAAUCACUGCUCAUAAUGCUAUUUCAUCUAUCUAUAAACAUACACACACUGCAUUAUGCAUACUUUUUUGGUUUGUUUUCACAUUCAGAAGUCUUAAAAACCAUGGGUUGCAACCAUAGUUGCUCUGAAAGUAAUGCCUCCUAUUUAUUUUCACGGAAACUACAGCAGAUACAAAGAGCAUAAAAACACUAGUUGAUAGAAUAAAUUCUCAGCUACAAAACACUAUUUUUCAACACAGUCACCACCAUUAGCUAUGCAUUUUCACCAGUGAUGAACAAGAGCCUGCAUGCUGUGCUUGUAAAAAUCUGCACCAGUGGAGAUAAUCCACUGUUUCACAGCUGCUAUGACAGUGUCAUUGCUAGGGAAAACACAGCCUAUGCUGUUUGUCUUACUGUCCACUGUCCUGAUCAGGUGGAAGUCAGAAGGCACCAAGUCUGGGCUAUAUGGUGGGUGUGGUAGGAAAGUUCAGCCAAGAUUAGCAAUGUGCUCCAUGGGGCCUGGUUGUAAGAGAAAGGUUUUCCUCUCUGAUCUGAUUGCAAGUUCAAACCUUCAGCUUAGCCAGCAUCAUAAUGUAGUGGUCGGAGUGGAUGGCUUGUCCAUGUUCCAGGAAAUCAAGAAGACUUGCUCCUUUCCUAUCCCAAAAGGAAGUUUACAUCAUUUUUAACCACUGAGGGCUGUGUCUUGUGAAUUCCCCAUUGAAUAGAAAGUACAUCACCAGUCCGUGGACUGCUGUUUUGACUCCAGCUCUAGUGGUGACACCACAUCUCAACACCAGUAAUGCUGCGAUCCAGGAAAUGGUCACCUUCAGCCUUGUUUGUUCAGUAGAUCCUGAAAAACUAGUAUAUAAUGUUAUUUCUGUUCCUGUGUGAGCAUUUGUGGGACCCGACUGGUGCAAAUUUUGUGAUAGUCCAACAUUAUGCCACCAUUUUCAACUCUUUGAAGCUGAUAUUCAGCUCCAUGCUCAGUUCCCUGGUUGUAAUCCAUGCAUUCAUAUGGAUUUGCUGAUCAAGAAGCUCUUCAUUUCAUGAUGUGACAGCUGUGCAUGGCCAUCCGGACCAUGGCUUGUCUUUCACACUGCCAUUGCCACUACUGAAACAAACCACUCACUCCUCACUGUGCUCAUAUCCACUGUUUGGUCUUCACAAAUGUUUAGCAAGCACUGAUGAAUGUCAAACGGUGCAAUUUUUUCCUCAUGGAGGAAUUCAGUGACACAUCUUAGCUUCAGAUGCACUUCCAUGUUAGAUGCCAUUCUGUCAGCCUGCUGCUCUGAUGCCAUCUGUCACAUGGCAACAAAAAGUAAUGGGAUAGUGGAUGUAAGGUUCAGCAUCUAAUGCCAUACCACCAAAAUCUACCUCUGAUAUAAAGUAGGAACAGCCCUUGUCUGUUAAGAAAUCAAGCAUCUUGUGCCAGUCUUACUCAUCCUAAUUAGAAUAAAUGCAAUAUAAAUUAUCAAAAGCUAUUUGGAAAGAAAUAAUUCCUGUAGCAUUUGAAUGUUUCACUGUAUACGAUGGCAGCAGAAGAAAGUGUGCAAACAAAUAUUUGCAUCACUAGAAAGAAACAAAAAAGGAAGCUAAUCAGAAAAUCAGUUUGUUAAUAAGUACUUUUACUUAUCAGUUGAUUUAAACAAAAAAACUGAGUAAAAUAAGUUUAAUUAUGCUUUGUACAAUACAUUGUUGUAGGAAGUUUGUAAUCACAGUUUUACGGAACAAUUUUGUGUUGCCAACAAAUUUUUCAAAUGCCAUGUUUCACUGAAGCUGUGUAUUUUCAGCUAACUGAAACACAUGUGACAAUGCAAGACAGUAAGUAUGCAUCUUGCAAAACAGUGGAGAGUAAUCCCUCAGGUUAUUGGCCAUGAACUGCUUACAGAGCUGAAAUACUACACUUCCCAGAACUAAUUGUGAAUAGUUUUGUAAAUUUGAGUAUUUAAAUAUUUUCAAAAUGUUUUAAUAGUGCUUUUUGUGCAUGACUUUUUUUGUUAUGUUUUACUUUCCUUACUAAGUUGGUGAAUUUAUUUUACAAAUUCUUAGAAGAGAUUAAAUAUUUGAGUAUUCUUAAUUUAAUUAGAUAUUCAGUUUAUGAGCAAAGAUGAUCACUAGUCAAUUAAUAUAAAUACAAAUCACAAAAUAAAAUACUAACAAAACAGCAAGACAGUGAAGUUCCAGCUGUUAAGUCCUUUCAUAAACCAGUUCAUAAAAGAUUAAAAUCCCUGAACACUGCUGUUUAGCUGUGAAACUCAAUGCAGAAUACCCUUAAUGAGAAAAAUGCAAAUAAUAUUGAUACAGUUUUUUAAUAAUAUAGAUGUGUAUAAGACAUGUUGUCAGUUCAUAUUUUCACCAGCUGGAGAUGUAAAAAUAGUUAGACCAGAUUUUCUAUUUACCCUGCACCUGUGGCACUUACUACUUUGAAUGUACAGUGAAUGUUAUAUGUAUUUUCACCUCCACAGCCUGGACAGAAACAUUAUCCUCACCCUGUGUAAGACAAAAGCUGAGGCAUUCAUGCAUUUUUCAGAUUGCUCACGUUCAAAGUUUACAGUGCUGCUGCUUUUGUACUUUGGUCAUAUAGCACAAUAUUUCUCUCGUGAUUCCUAUAACUCUGUGAUUCUGUGUGAUUCUGAAUUGAAGCAUUAGUAAAAGUGCCUCUGUUGCUAAACCAUGCCUUUCCUGCCAUUUUUUUCACAUUUACCCAUUCUCCACUUUUGCAAACAUAGAAAAAGUAUGAAUUUUAUUAGUCUUGACAAAAUUCUGUUACUGCAAGAGAAAGUCACAAUCCUUGCCAAGAGGCAUGGAUAUUGGCAAAACAAUCAAACUGUGAAAAUUCACUUAUAGGCCUGCUAAGAACUUAGAGGAAAAUGGUCAUUUAAAUUCUGCCCUGGAACACUUGCCCUGUAGACAUCAUAUAAGAUGUUCAUCAUAUUCAUGAAAUAAGAAAAUUUGCUUAGUAGCCUUUCACUUCACCUAAGCUGUAGUUUUUCCUCAUUUAAAACUGAAUAUGAACAUAGUCCACGUCUCAGGGAUGAUACUGAUUGUUGGAUAUAUUUAAAGAAUGAAUCUUCAUUUUUCUUAUCACUGUAAAUGUACCAAUCAUUUCCCUUCUUUUGAGAGAAGCUGAAUGUGAGAGAUCUAUGAAGUCAAAUACUUGUGUUUAGCAGAGAAUCUAUGGAAAAAGUAUCAGUUAUAAAGUAAUCGGGAGUUGUUUCAAAUCUCAUUCAUGAAAAUGAAAGUCUAUAUUGUAUUGAACAAUAGUAAUUAUACAUUGAAUCAAACAUUUUAGAAUUCUACAGCUUUGUUUUAAGCAAAUUGACUGAUUUUUAAAAUUUUAUUUUUUUUAUUUUUAGUUGAGUAAAAUGUUGGCCAAGCCCAUAACUCAUGAAUGAUAUUUGUUUUAAUCUUUUCAUCUGCAUACUUCUGCUCAUUGGGGUAUGAAAAGUUAAGGUAAUGUAAGGGCUGUAUGGACAACAGUACUGAGGGGAUUUCCUGCAGUUUUGUCUGAACAAACUUGCAAAAGACAUAGACAAAUGGAAAGACAGACAUACUUACUAGAACUCCUCAGCAUAGAUAUUUGUUGUGAUCUUUUUCAAAUAUAUUUGUUGAAAUAGUCAAUCAAAUCCAGGCUAUCUGGUAAGGAUUCAGGAUUCUGGAACAUUUGCUUGUCAUCAGAUCCUGAUACAGAACCUCCUAGACCCCAGUUCUGUACCAACAUAGAACUGGGAUGUGUGUCUUUAUCCUCUGUCCUGUUUUCUAUCAAGGAAGAUACAAACAAGUAUCCCAUUCAUGUGCAUUUUUUUUGCAUGGAGAAAAACUUUAUGAUCAAUGGGUCCAAAACAUCUUCCUAAGAAAUACGAAGAGAGAGUUCUAAGUGCAAAAGCCUUCUACUACUCUGAGCAUCUGAGCUCAUUACACACCAUCACAUUGGCCUCAGGUUCUUUUGUGCUUACACCAAGACAUUUUGCAUGGUUAGAAAUACCUCAGGAAAUGGGUAUUUAUUUCCUGACUUAACUCCACUAAAAUGCAAGCCUCACCUAAGUCUCCAGAAAGAUUCUGAAACAGCAGAUAUACUCAUACAACUAAUUACAUCAAAUUAUAUUGCCUUGAUUCAUCUGUAUGGCAACAACAUCAGUGUCCAUUUACAUAAAAUUUAGGGAUACAAUGUGCAUGGACUUAGAGAAGGUCACAAGGAACAGGGUUAUUCCAGAGUUGUGAGGCUGGAAUAGUUUCUACUCCUCAGCUCAUGUUGCUAUCAAGGCAAUUCCACUUCCUGAAUUGGUGGUCACAACACUUUGAGUAUUACACAGACCAUGCACAUAACUCUCAACAGUGGUAUUUUUUUUUAAAUAAUAAGAUCCAUGAUGUUAGCUCUGCUUCAUUUUUAAUACCCUAGGUCCUAGGUGAACACACAUAGACCUUUUCAGUGGUUGCCUCCUGGCACUGCCUUACUCAGCAUCUAGGUACACUGAAUUGCUCUGCACACUUGACUGAUUUUUCCAUCGAGUCAAGAGAAUUAAGUAAAUAACUCAAGAGGUCUGGAUGAUUGUUUGUAGAAAAAGAUGCCUUUCUCUUUCCAAGGAUCUUGCCAUAGUCAGGCAACCAGUUUUAGGCACUGUGACACCUGACUUUUGUGUAGAUAUCCUGCCUUGAAGGGAAAUGAAUUCAGCUUCAGAGAAGGCAGGUAACUACUAACACAUCCACAAGUUUGGGCAUUCACCCGACUUAGAAUUCAGUUUCUGGAACAGAGAAUUCUAGUGCUAUUUUAUAAAGCCCAGGUCAUCUUGCCUGGUAGCCCUGUGCCCCUGGAAGGAUGAAUCUCCUUUGGGAUUAUGUUGUACAUUUCACUUGCAUACAAAAGCUCUUCUGAGGUCUUUCAAAUGGCACUACACAUCCAAACUGUGUGUGUCUUAGGUGAGUGGCUUCGUACUGUAGGUACUACUGACAUCACUAAUUGACUACAGCAGGACUUUAAACACAAGUUCACAACUGUAUUCAUACAGAAAUAGGUAUUAAUUUUAAACUAGUUGCUAUUCAAAGCCAAGACAUAGGGGACAGAGAGAGUUGCUCCAGUUUUCUGAAGACAGGUGUGUACAGCCAUGUGAGAUGCCCCAGGUUUUCCAAGUCUUCCACACAAGUCCAUCAGACAGAUGUCUGUGACCUGUGGGAGGCCCGUUGCUGUCUGGACCAGCAGACAGCCAGAUCAGAGCCCUAGGACAUCUUACACAGGACUACAUACCUCUGUUUAGAACUACAGGAUUUGGGAAUAACCAGAGCAGAAAACACAAUGACUGAAGUUUGCAACAAGGCUACUGUUAAGAAAUGUUUGGAAAGCAUGGAAGUUCAAACUGGAAAUGUAACUUUUAUAUAAACAAGUAAAUACUUGAUACAAAGACUGUUUUUUGAAUUUAACAUCCAGUUUGAACUUAUUUCUAAGUCUUGUGUUUCAGAGUCUUGUUUAUGUGCAAUAACUUACUCCACAAUAUAUAGGGUGAUGUUUUUAUUACCUAGAUUGUUAAAGAUAUUCAAUUUAAAAUGCUUUCAACUUUGUCAGUGCAAUAUAGAACAUUAUGCUUCUUUGUACAUGAUGAAAAAUGUCAAUUUUAAAAAUUAGAUAUUUGCUGUAUAGUUGUGAGUGGAAUAUUUUAAAUGUAAUUACAAAAGGGAUAUGUGUAUUCUUUCAUUGCCUUUGGAAAUUUUUAAUCCCUUGUUGAGAACAUUGAUCUUGAAACUCUUCUGGUAUAGUUGGAAGAUGAAGGUUCUGGAACACAUCAUUCAUAAUAUCAAUUUUUCUAUGGAUGAGAUAUUUAACCAGUAGUGUUACACUCAGGGUAUUCUGAUUAAUUUUGAAAAAAAAAAAAGUAUAUAUAUAUUUACACAAUAACAGUCCAACAGAAAAACAAAAAGGAAACAAACAAACCCACAAAAAAACUCUUCAUGAAUACUGAUCUGUUUAUUAGUGGGUCAAUUGAAUUAGCUAUAAAACACCUUACAUUUAUUUCUUAUUAGCUCACUUGAGGCCACCAUCACAGUUCUGUUAAAUUGUAUAUUCUUAAAGGCAUCCUUUAUUUCUGAAAACUUAAACCAGCGCAUAUUCAACAUUAUUUCUCAUACACAGAAGUGUAAUAAUUGCAGUAAUUUGUCUGCUUUUGUUUAUUAGCCAAAAUACCAAGCAAAACACAUGGAAAUAAAAUGAUGCAUCUGCUGUAAUAAAGCAUUCUCAAACAUAAGUAUUUUAAAAUACAAAAUGAGAUUCCUAUUAAUAUUGUUAAUGGUAAAUGAUGGCUGAAAAUUUGUGCAUGCUGAGCAUAGAUUGUUAUGAUUCUCUGACUAACACUCCCUUCUAUAGGAAGAAUUUUCAUAUUAUGUUAUCAUUUUUUGUUAUGUGAUUCUUAAAAGACCUGUGGUAUCCAUCUGCAGAAAAUCUUUUUCUUCUUUUAUGGAGCUUUCCUUGGCAAAUUAAUCUUGCAUGUGCUGACCUCACUAAAUUCGUCUGUUAUCAUGACUCCCCACAAAUCUCCCUGUAUGCCCCGGUUUCUCUAGAGUGUAAGCAUUAUGUUUUGGGACUUCCUAAAUGAACAGUCUGACAAGGAACAGUGCAACUUGAAAUGCCCUGCAAGGAUCUAACCUGCAACUCAAGAAAUAGUUCCACUGAUAUGAUGAGGUGUUAUUUUGGGCCUGAAAUGAGCCCCAGCAGCAGCAUCCUUGUUACCAAUAGAUGAAGAAGUGAAAUAAGUCUGAUUUUUCCAAAAUUUUGAUCGUAUUAGAAUAAAAAUAAAGCCUUUGUUAGGUUUUACUUCAGAGGAAUUGUUCUGCCUCACUCUGUUAGAAAUUGUAUGAUUCUAACUGCAGGAGAGCUGAUGACCACUUAGGAGUUAUCAGUGAACAUAUGUGCUAUAUUUGUUUUUAAAUCUUCAAUCCUUAAAAAUUUUGAAUUCUUAAAUCAUCAUUUAUCACUUUGCAUCAUCAAUAUUUUAUGUUGAAGGAAUGAUCUUAUUUGAAUUUGCUAUCUUUAGGUAUAUACUUUGUCUCCAGUGAAAUAUAUUUCCAAACUGGCUUUAUUCUACUAUCAAAGUUCAAAAUUAGAAGCAAUACCACUUGUACUUCGGUACUUGAUAACUUUAUUUUCCACAGUGACAUCACCUCUGAAACUGACAUUUCCUGACAUUAUUUAUAUUUUUGUUUGUAGUGAGAUUUCUGAUCUGACAGUAAUGAUAGCAUAUUAUUUUUCCCUCAGCAAGAACAAGAAAUUUGUGUUUUAUUGUAGCUGAUCAACCUUGGAAAAUAAACACAUACUCAUGCUGGAUUUUUGUUAUAUGUAAAGCAGUAUAAAUCAAUUUCUGUGCAGAUGUUGAUUUUUGCAUGGGAAGUUAUUUGCAUUUGGUUUUCAAAGCUAUUUUAUAAAAAUGACUCAAAAUAGAAAGAUUCAGAGAAGAAAUUUUCACACUGGAUAAAAACUUUAGCAACAUUGAAGUAGGUGGGAGUUCUGCUUCAGUGGGGCUAGAAGUAAAUCCACUGAGCAUCAGCACAUAAUGUAAUAAUGUAUUCCUCCCACACUUUUCCAUAAAGCUGACUAAAGAGCAAACAACAGUUCCCCAGGCGUUAGCCUGCAAAUCAAUAGUAUAUUUAGUAUCAAUAAUCAAUAUGUAAAGUAAAAUAGCAGCCUUAGUUUUGCAAAAACAUAGCUCAUCCAUGGGUUCUAUAUUAGCAAAUUGCUGGCUGCCUUGGAUGAAACUUUCCCACCACAUACUGCAGUAAUCGUUGGGUUAAGAACCAUAAGGUUUCACUGCUUCUUCUUUGGAAAGGUGAUAGCUACACUGAGCUAGAGAAGGAAGAAAUAUGCAAUAUUUCCAUUUAAUAAAAGAGCAUCUAUGGCCUAGAGAGGAAUUUGCUUGCUGAUUUUGCAGAACUUGUGAGUAAUUUUUGGCUAAUGUCUUCUUGUCCUGCAUAAAUGGUUCCACUUGGUCCAUUCUUCUGAGUCACUUUAUAUUCUUAUAUCAGAUUGAAACUGUGUUAUUUAGAAAAACUCUAUUAAUUACAACAAAACAAACAAACUCUCAAUUUGGGAACACUAUAACAAAGCCCUAGAAAAUUAUAAAUGGCAAAUAUUACUGUAAUUGAGAAAAGAGUGCUUUUCUCAAGCUUUUACUUUAGCUACAAAAUACAGAAUCUAUUACGCUUGUUAUUAAUGGGAUCUGAAAAUGGUUCUCCCUUUCCCCUACAUUCCCUGCAACUCAGAAAAGUUUUCUUCAGUUGUUGGAAAAAAAAAAUCUUACAUAUAAAUGCCAAAUUUUACAUUACAUUUACAGUUUUGUUUAAAGCCUUAACACUUCUUGCUCCAACAGACAUCAGGGGUUCUCAGCAGUUUUUAUUACUGACUCCACAGAUAUCAUCUUACAUGAAUAUUUCACUGAAAGCAGCAUGAUAUGCAUAAUCUCUGGGAACACUUUUCAGCCAAAAGAAGUGAAGGAAAAUAUUCCCAAGAAAGGAGUUUUUGACAGUGUUGAAUUCUUCCAUGUUUUUAGGUUGUAGUGGGAUAGAAUAUGGAACUGGGAAUUUUCUUGUUUGUUUUUCAAAAAACCUCUGUCAUUUUUCUGCAGUGCAGAAACACAAAUCUAAUUUCUACAAGGUUCAUUUUUCCAUAUAACUUUGUUUGUAAAGUCAGUGCUUCUGAAGGAAGUCACUUAAAUGCUACUCCACAUGAUCAAAGACAGAAAAUAAAGUAUGUUUUUCUGAAGAAUAUUGUUUUGGUUAUUGUUUACUGCACUCUUUCUAUUCAGGAAGAUAAAAGAAAACAUUUUUUAUUUUUAUGCUUUUUGGAUGCACAAAAAUGUUUAUGCUUUCAAGUGUGGAUUGCUGAGGAGACCAAAGUUUGAGCAAGCAGAGAAGGACUUGCUGAGGCUGAGAAAAAUGAUGAAUGUUUGGGAAACAUUUCAUUUUAUUUAUAAAGAAUGGCUAUAUGAGUGAUUUUGUCAAAACCUUUGAGCAUCUUAUCAACUAAAACACUCUGUAUCUCCAAAACUUAUGUGAAUUUUUUUUUUUCUAUUAGCUUUAAUGUGUUUCUGUACCUUUUUUGGGGAGCCCUGAAUGUCUGUGUUCUCUGUGCAUGGAUAUGUGCUUUUACCCAUUUUAACAUGAUGGUUACAGCUUUGAUUAGGAUGAGACACAGUCUGAUUUUCACAGUUUGUUUUGAAAUGCACAUCUUGUUUUUGUGUCAUCUUUGAAAUUCCCAUGCCCACUUAUCUCUAGAUGAAAAAAAAGCUGUUCAUUUAAGCAAUUAGGUAUGAUAUAUAGUGUAUUUGAGAAUGAUGAUUGCACAUUUUGUAAAAUCUUGAAAGUAAAAAGACUGAGGGUCGAUACAUUAACAUUCCAACAAAGAGCUGUGAAUGUUCUGGCUACUGCAAAGUGAUGGAAACAGUCUUCUCAAAUCUUGAACGAAAAUCUUUUUUUCUUGCAUGAACUGAGUUGAUAUGGGAAAAAGUUCUUCUAGUUUGGGUUCCUACAUCAUGAAUUUCUUUGUACUGAAACAGAACCAAGCUUGUUUUGUUGUUUUCUGAAUUCUAAGAGAUCUUUUAGCUUGGAGAAGAGAGGCUCCAGGGAGACCUCACUGUGGCCUUCCAAUACUUGAAGGGAGUGUAUAAACAGGAGAGGGAAAGACUGUUUACAUGGGUUGAUAAUGAUAGGACAAGGGAAAUGGUUUUAAACUGAGACAGAGAGGUUUAGGUUAGAUAUUAGGAGGAAGUUUUUCACACAGAGGGUGGUGACGCACUGGAACAGGUUGCCCAAGGAGGUUGUGGAUGCCCCAUCCCUGGAGGCAUUCAAGGCCGGGCUGGAUGUGGCUCUGGGCAGCCUGGUCUGGUGGUUGGUGACCCUGCACAUAGCAGGGGGGUUGAAACUAGAUGAUCAUUGUGGUCCUUUUCAACCAAGGCCUUUCUAUGAUUCUAUGAUAUGAUAUGAAAAACACCCAACAGGAUGUGUCUGAAAUGAGCUACAUUCCCAAGAACCAUCACCGAUAAGAAUUACAAUUUAUUGUGAAACAUGAGCUAUCUCCAGUGAAACACUCCAGGCUCAACAAAUUGCUCUUUCAUUAACAAAACUUUUUUUUGCUUCUUCUGACAUAUCUUUCGAAAUGCUAUAAAGAAGAUCUAAUCAUCACCCCUUUCUGAUACUUUUUAUUCUGUGGUCUUCUUUGUCCUGAAGACUGCAGCUCUGGACUUCACCUGGGCUAAUGCAUACCACCAGUAGAAAUGAAUAUAUUUUUAGCUAUUUAUUCAUUUACAUUUGUUUUUUUUUUAAAAAAAAGUGAAAUUGCACUAACACAAAUUUUAGACUAAAGGCUGUUACAUGGAUCAGGGAAGCCCAAUACUGAAUUCCUAUCAUCUGGACUGGAAAGACAAGGCUGAUUAUGGUUGCAAAGGUAUACAGCUAAGCACAGAGCUGAAAAUUGGAGUCUGAGCAGCUACUCAGUGUAGAAAAAUACCGAUGUCUGAGUUGGCCAAGUAUAAGAACUGAACACAAAAUCUUUAUAAUCAGAAAUGUCAGGGAAAUUUAAUGUCAUCUGGUGCUGUUAGCCCUGCCUAAACUGCCCAAAUCAGAUCAGGUGUAAAUAGCUGCAGCUGUCACUGACAUUAACAGGAGUUGCAUCCAUUUACAGGAUUGGAUUAGGUUCCUAAAGAUAAAGCAGCAUUUAUUUGCUCUUUUUUGUUCUCCUAGCUGAAAGAGCAAAAAGACAGCCUUCUAAAAUAAAUGUAAAGAUGAAAGCAAUGAUCUUCAGAGGUAAAUACGAUGAAAGAUGAAAAUGUUCUAUAGUAUGAAAAGACUGGCUGAGCCACACAAAUCAUGGGAAUUUAUAUCACAGUACACUCUCUGGUCUUAUAAAUUCAUGAAUAAUACAUAAAAGAAAAAUUACAAAAUUAAGAUCUACACUAGGAGAAUCGCAGCAUUUUAGUUGACCACUGACUCUUUGGUAUCUUAACACUACCAAGCCCAUCAAAGAAGCCUUUUAGAUUGUGUUUCCAUUUACCUCAGUGUCAUUAUUUAAUAUUUCACUUCUGAUACAGGUGAGUUUUCUUUAUAGUUAGCCAAAAUGUCACAAGCAUAUAAUGAAAACAGUGAAGAGCCUUGAAUUUUAGAGACUCCAUUAACUUUCCAUUUAUAUUUCUAAAUCCAGUGGUUAGAUAUGUCCAUGCUACUUCUUUCUGUAGUUUAACAACACAGAGCUGUAGCUGAGGGAGACAUGAGUAAUGACAUUUAUAUACUAAUACACUUAGGAUUUUCAUUCUGCAUACAAACAGUACAAACCAUAUGCAUAUCUCCCUGGUUUAUUACUGUUAAGAAUAAUAAGCAACUGAUGUGUGCUGUUGGUUGGUCAGUUGUUUUGUUUGUUUUAUGGCACGUCUCUUUCAGAGAGAUGCACCAAGAAAUCAGUUCCCCUUAACUCACUUUUGCUGGUACUGAUCAUGAGUAGGGACAUUCUCCACACUCUUCUAAACUGAAUGAGUUAGGCUCAGAUUCAUCCCACCUAAUGCUCAGAGUUUAACAAAUGUGUCCCAGUUAAGAGAAUAGCUGACUUACUCUCCUUCCAUAGUCAAUGAACAGAGACAGAGAAUGAUUUGUAAUGAAAAUUGUUCCUCUCUCUCCUUUGAAUAAUGUUAGAUGAUAAAAUGACUUUGCUCCUACUUAAAUAUAAAUAGAAUAAAUGAUGAAUGCUAAGGAUUCUGUAAUUAAUAGAGAGAUUACCAAUGGAUACAGGUGUAGGGCGAAGAGAAGAUGUGAGGAAUUAUCUUCCCCUCUGCUAAGGAAUCCUUCAUUUGGAAUUCUACAGAUAACACAUCAUCUGAAGGCAUCGUGCUGCACCCUUUACUAAGAUCAAGUUACCAUUACAAUGUAAGACUUUUUUUAAAAAAAAAAACCUGUCAGUUAUGUGGUCCACUUAUGCUUUAUCAUCUUCACUUUCCAAAUCAAUACUUGUUAACUGUUGUAAAUGACACUUGAUUUAUAUACUCACAGAGUCAUAGAUUUAUAGGAUGCUUGAGGUUGGAAAGAACCUCUGGAGGACAUCUGGUCCAACCCCACUGCACAAGCAAGGACACCUAGAGUUGGUUGCUCAGGAUCAUGUCAAGGCCGCUUCUGAAGAUCUUCAAGAAGGAAAACUACACAACCUUUCUGGGCAACCUGUGCCACUGCUCAUUCACACAGCAAAAUGCUUCCUGAUGUUCAGACACAACUUCUUGUGUUCCUAUUUCUGUCUGUUCCUUCUAGUCCUGGCAAUGAGACCACUAAAAAGAGUGACUCCACCUUCUUUAUACCCUCCUUUCAGGUACUGACAUUUUUAAGCCCCCUUUGACCCUUCUUCUCUAUAGACUUAACAGUCCCAACUCUCUCAGCCUUUCCUCAUAGGAGAUGCUCCAGUCCCUUUAUCAUUUUUGUGGUCCUCUACUGGAUGCUCCAGUCCCUUUAUCAUUUUUAUGGUUCUCUACUGGACUCCUUCCAAUAUGCCCACAUCUGUCUUGUAUUGGAGGUCUAGAACUGGAUACAGUACUCUGAAUUGAGGGGAAGGAUCGUCUCUCUUAACCUGCUGUCAAUAUGUAAUGCAGCCAAGAAUACCAUUAUCCUUCUUAGCAGCAAGGGCACAAUUGCUGACAUAUGUUCAACGUGGUGUUCACCAUGACCCCCAGGUCCUUUUCUGCCAAGUUACUUUUCAGCUGGAUGAACCCCAGCAUGUGCAGGUGCCAGAAGUUGUUCCUGUCCAGGUGCUGUUCUUGUUGAAUUUCAUGAGGUUCUUGUCAACCCGCCUCUUCAGCCUGUUGUGGUCACUCUGGAUGACAGCAUGGUCUGGUGAAUCAGCUAUUGAUGCCAGUUCAAUACCAACUGUGAAAUUCUGGAUUCCUUCUUCUCUUUUAAAACUUCUUCUUAUAGCUUCACUGGCAGAAGUAAUCAUUUUAAAGCUAAGAUAAUUCAUCCUUAGUUUAGAAAACAAUAAAAUACUGAGUAUAUGAAAAAAUAUAAAUGAUGAAAAUAUAAAUAAUGAAAAAAUGAGUGUAUAAGUGAAUAUCUAUAAAACGGAAUUCUAAUAUUGACUUAACAAUGAGAAUAUAUCUUCAAGUUUUAUUUCCAAACAUAUAUUUGCCUUUUCUGACAGUUAUUUCAUUCUUUCCUAACAUAUCUCACUUGUUAUCUGGUGUAAAAAUGUCUUCCUUCUCCCUACUGCUUUCCCCAAAUCUGAUAAGAAAUCUUUUCUACACCCAUAAAUCAAAAUUCUUGUUAAAAAUGAAGAUACUCUCCUACUUAAGGGAAAUGGGAAUUUAGCACUAUUGUUUUAUUUAUCGCUUGGAGGCUUAGAUCUCUGUCUUGCCAGCUCAGAUAUUAAAAUAGAUUCACAAGGGUGACAAAUGCUGUAAGGCACAUUAUUAAAGUAGCCAUACCAUUUUGUGGCCAAGAAAAAUUUCAGAGAAGCAUUCAUAGUAUAGAUUGAAAGGGACAAAAUUUUACCUAUAUUGUUACAUCUGUUAUGCAGUUCCCAGCUGAAACCAGACAGGAAGCCUUUUACUGUAAUCAUUACAAAUUGCUCGGCAUUAAAAAACAUGUUCUUUAAUGACAAUAUUGAUGAGCAAUGAGCCAUAACCCUCAAGAGGGAAGGUUCUGAUUAAGAAAUAAGGUGACAAACCGCAAUAGCACUAAUCAAAAUAUACCUUGGAUGCAGACUCAAGGUGCUGUCAAUGCAUAGAGCCCCUAAUGUACUUAAAGUGUGCAUUAAUCAACUCCUCAUGUGUUUGACUUAGAUUUCUACUUCGCAUUUUUAAAUCAAGGUUUCUAUAUUAAACCAAGAAAAUGUCUCCCUCAAGUUAUAAGUAGUCCCCAGGGAGACCCUUCUGCAAAUGUGGAACGUUUUGAAAGAACUGUUUGUUUGGAUACCUUAUGCUAUUAAGUAUUUGAAAUAACUAUUUUCUCCCUCUCCAUAGAAUCAUAGAACUGUUUGAGUUAGAAGGGACCUCUAAAGAUCAUCUAGUCCAAUUCCCCUGCAAUGAACAUGGACAUCUACAAGUAAAUUAGGUUGCUCAGAGCCUCAUUAAGCCAAACCUUGAAUGUCUCCAAGGAACUAUUUAUUCCAGUAUCAACUAUUUGUUCCAGUAUUUCACCACACUUACUAUAAAGCACUUUUUCCUUAUAUCCAAUCUAAAUAUCCCCUCAUUUCGUUUGAAACCAUUUCCCCUUGUCCUAUCACAGCAGAUUCUGCUAAAGAGUCCCCUUCUUUCUUGUAGCUCCCCUUUGGAUACUGAAAGGCCACCUCACAGCUUUCUCUUCUCCGGGCUGAACAGACCCAGCUCUCUCAGCCUGUCCUCACAGGAGAGGUGUUCCAUCCCUCAGAUCAUUUUUGUGGCCCUCCUCUGGAUGCACUGUAACAGGUGCACAUCUCUCCUGUACUGAGGUCUCCACAUCUGGACACAGUACUCCAGGUUAGGUAUCACAGUGCAGAGUAAAGGAACAGGAUCACCUCUCUCCACCUGCUGGCCACGCUUCUUUUCAUGUAGCCCUGGAUAUGGUUGGCUUUCUGGGCUGUGAGGGCCCAUUGCUUACUCAUGCCCAGCUCACCAUCGACCUGUACCCCCAGGGUCUUUUUGGUAGGUCUGUGGUAGGUCUGUGCUCUACUCUUCCAUCCCCCAGAUUGUACUGAUAGUAGGGGUUGCAACAACCCAGGUGCAAGACCUUCUAGUUGGAUUUGUUGAACUUCACAUGGUUCUUCUGGGCCCGCAGUUCAAGCCUGUUUAGGUCUCUCUGGAAGGCAUCCUGUCCCUCAGGUAUGUCGACUCUUCUUAUAUUUUAAGAUGUCUUUUUUAACUGUACUUGUCAAUUCAGAAUUUAUUUGCUUUGCCCAAUAACAUGUCAGAUUUAUGUUACACUAGCAAAAUUCAUCCAGGCCCUGCUUAUUUGCUGACUACAUAAAAGUAUUACUCAAGUUUGGGUAGUGUAACUGGCAACGGACUGUAACUUUCAAAAAUAUAUAAAAAAAACCAAAAAAAACCUGACCAUUAACCACCUCACUGAGACUACAGCAAAGGUCAUCCAAUGAAUUGAAAGUAUUCUGACAUACUUUUACCAACUAGACAUAUUUUUUUUUACAUGUCAUGUUUUAUGACUGCAUUUUUAGGUAUACCAGAUAUUUUUUGCUGUUCCAUAAAUCUGUCAGAGGUUUUUGCCAUGUUUUGUCAAAAUGUGAUUUUGACAGAUUAUAUAUUUUCCAUGGGAAAUAUACCUUCCAGAUUGCAAAGACAUUGUUUAAUAAUAAUUUAGAGAGAUGAGUGGGAAGGCACUCCCAACCUGCUUGAGUUACUGCUCAUUUCCUUUGAUCAUUUCCCUUUGAUCAUUUGCAAAUUUAGGCUCUGUUACUGCUAACACUCAUGGGCUUAAUUCUCUUUCAGAUAAACAUUUUUAGCAUUAAAGUCUUGAAGUUUUUUCUCUUUCCAUCAAAGGCAGAAGGCUCUGAUGUUCUUGGAUGAGAAGUGCUGGAUAAACAGAACAUAUAUAGAUCUUUUUCCCUAUGAAUUCCACCAGACAUUUCAUUUCCUCCACUUCUCUUCCUUCUCUUCAACAGUGCUAGGCAACAUGCCCAGGCUGCUUCCUACCACCAUCACAUCCUUCCCAUCACACAGUCCAAGUUUAUAAUUCUCUUGCAAUCUGACAUAAAUGUAUGUGUCCGUUCAUAUAAUCCAAAACGUGAGUCUCACAAGUCUGGAAUUAGGGAAUACAUGUAAGAGGAAGAUUCUGAGUGCAAGUUUGGCACUUUUGAUAAAUUAGCACCCACACAGGCACUUAGCCGUACACACAAAACUGUAGAGUUUUGAAUAAUAUAAAAGUUACACCUUGCAAAUUUAAAGUUAAAAAAAAAAAUAGGUGAAAUGUAUCACUUUUUUUCGCACUUUGCUAACUGAACAGACUUUAGAGAAAGAAACUUACCUGCCCACUAAGGAGAAGCAAACUAAAACCAGCUCCAGGAACAGCAUUUUCUUAUAACACUUCUGGCAGUUUUUUGAAGCUCUACAUUUUGUAGCAUAAAUAUGUUUUCUCUGCUGUGUUGGUGUUUGAAAGACGGCCACCAUAAGGAGAGUCUGACUGGAAUGCAUGUAGUGACUUCUCUUGUUCAAAGUGAUCUCUGCUGAAGGAUAUUGUGCCCAGGGAGUACUCACACAGACAAGAGACUUGUUUGCAGGCAUUACUUUUGCUAUUAGCAACAAAAGCUUGUUUUCUUCUUCUGCCUGACAUUGCUCUUGGUUUCAUUAUGGGGAAAAAAUGGUAAGUGGAUACAAGAGAAGUAUCACAAGAUUUAUACAGAGAAGGUCUGGUUUUAGAUGAUGGUAGAACUCUUCUGAAGAUUAUCACUAGGUAAAUAAACACAGUGGAUAUACAUCUGAAGUACUGGAAGGAAGAGAGUAUACAUGUGGGCCACCCUGUUUUGGAUCACAGAAUGAAACAGAAAAAGGUGUCCUUUUCCUUCCUCUUGCUACUCCCACACUGAGACCCAUACCAUGGGAUUUACUUGUAGGGAUUGCCCCUCAGAGGCUAGGGGGGGAGAGAGAGAGAGAGACUCAUCAGAGUUCAUAUAAGUUCUCAGUUCUGUCUCCAGGGAAUGGAUGGGAGCUAAGGGAUUUUCUGAGCUACAUAAAAAAAAAACUUAUCAGAGUUCUGUCAGUUUGCAACGUGUUACUCUAGAAAGCAAAGAAAUACAAAUAGUGAAGCAUUUUGCAUAUUUUGGCAGCAGCAUUCAAGCCAGUAGGGCUGUUCUGGAAGGAAAAAAAUAUCUAUUGGAAAGACGUAAUUACAUUCACAGCUUACAAAAUCAGGCUGUUGAAAAUCUGCUAUUUAAAGAUGAAAUUGUGGAAUACACAGCUCAGAUGUUAUUUUCACUUUAACAUGUGAACGUGAAGGAUGUAAAUCCAUCAAGGGUACAGACACCGGUCUCAUUUCUUCCAAAGUAAAUGCCUUUUGAAAACACUAGGUAUUACAUUGAAUACACUGAAUAUGUAACAAAUGGCAUCAAGACUGAUGUUCAUCAACUUUUAUAUCUAGACUUUUAUAUCUAGAGAUAUCCAAAGAGAAGAUGGGAAUACAUGGACACUGUAGUGAGAAAAAAGCUAGAGAUCUGCCAUGAUUAAAUGUGUCAUUGGACACCUGAAGAGACAUGCAGAUGGACCAGCUAAACGACUCCUGCCCAAUAUUAUUCAGAAAGGAGAAAACUUAUGAGACUGAAAAACACAGAAAAUAUAAUGAGUGGUUUCUGGCAGGUCUUAUUUGCACAGCAGGCAAUAUUUGACAACAUGGGAAAGAAUGAGCUUCAGUUGCUAGCCUAACUCUCAAUCAAUCCAUGUCAAUGAUCAGAACCAUUAAGUGCUAUGGAAGUUGACAACAUCCUUUUAAAUAAGAAGAGAAUGUAAAAACUUGAUAAGCAAUUUUAGGAUUCUGUUACAAAAUUUCAUCUCAU
RNAcentral lists this long non-coding RNA (32759 nucleotides) under Gallus gallus (chicken). The record is from RNAcentral. Lineage: Eukaryota; Metazoa; Chordata; Aves; Galliformes; Phasianidae.